RNAcentral lists this transfer RNA (74 nucleotides) under Phycisphaerae bacterium. RNAcentral's name for it is "tRNA-Pro". It matches the Rfam family "tRNA". Rfam says of the family: Transfer RNA (tRNA) molecules are approximately 80 nucleotides in length. Their secondary structure includes four short double-helical elements and three loops (D, anti-codon, and T loops). The record is from RNAcentral. Lineage: Bacteria; Pseudomonadati; Planctomycetota; Phycisphaerae.
CGGGGUGUGGCGCAGUUGGUUAGCGCGUUAGUUUUGGGAACUAAAAGCCGUAUGUUCAAAUCAUACCUCCCCGA